Non-coding RNA from Glycine max (soybean), 74 nucleotides. The record is from Rfam. Lineage: Eukaryota; Viridiplantae; Streptophyta; Magnoliopsida; Fabales; Fabaceae.
GGUCUAUUAGUUCAGUUGAUUAGAAUAUCAUACUAAUAAUGUGAAAAUCAUAGGUUCAAUUCUUGUUUGGGCCA